Molecule: long non-coding RNA, 492 nt
Filed under: Brachypodium distachyon (stiff brome)
Lineage: Eukaryota; Viridiplantae; Streptophyta; Magnoliopsida; Poales; Poaceae
Description: long non-coding RNA (BDIS_LNC004031)
Source: RNAcentral
UCAACAUGCGAUCGCCGCGGCUAGAGAACUUGGCUUUAAAGAUUUUUGUUAUAAUUUUCGGUUUAUCCGAAAUCUUUGUUGUUGUCUUAAUUUUUCGAUCAGUUUUAUUUUGUUCGUUGAAUAAACAAAGUCAGAUCGUUGUUCUAAAAAACAAAAGCAAAAAAAAAGUGAGAGAUAAAUGAGCUGAGAGCUCCCACCCUAGGCCUAAUUGAGAAAAGUAGUUUAAUAAUUCAUGUGAUGUAAAAAGUUUGUGGCCAGUUGAUACAGUCUGACAAAAAAUAUGUGGUUCUGUUGGCAAGUUAGCAAAAACUGGAGCUAGUGAGACGGCCCCCAAAAACCGUGGUUUCUUGAAAUUUACCAUGUUUAUUUUGCCAAAUAUCUAUGGGUGUGUCCAUAUCUCAGGUGCCUGAUUUUUUAAGUAAAAGAUUUAAUUCUUGGUCGAUAGUAUCAAAGUCACUCGUUUCCCUUUGCUGCGAAUUUUAAGACACAUCU